AACGAACGCUGGCGGCAUGCCUAACACAUGCAAGUCGAACGAGACCUUCGGGUCUAGUGGCGCACGGGUGCGUAACGCGUGGGAACCUGCCCUUAGGUUCGGAAUAACUCCCCGAAAGGGGUGCUAAUACCGGAUAAUGUCUUCGGACCAAAGAUUUAUCGCCUUUGGAUGGGCCCGCGUUGGAUUAGCUAGUUGGUAGGGUAAAAGCCUACCAAGGCGACGAUCCAUAGCUGGGCUGAGAGGAUGAUCAGCCACACUGGGACUGAGACACGGCCCAGACUCCUACGGGAGGCAGCAGUGGGGAAUAUUGGACAAUGGGCGAAAGCAUGAUCCAGCAAUGCCGCGUGAGUGAUGAAGGCCUUAGGGUUGUAAAGCUCUUUUAACCGGGAUGAUAAUGACAGUACCGGGAGAAUAAGCUCCGGCUAACUCCGUG
This 433-nucleotide ribosomal RNA is filed under the name uncultured bacterium. Its description in RNAcentral is "partial 16S ribosomal RNA". It matches the Rfam family "Bacterial small subunit ribosomal RNA", at positions 29 to 507 of the family's 1533-position model. The record is from RNAcentral.